This 344-nucleotide ribosomal RNA is filed under the name Pelobates cultripes (western spadefoot toad). RNAcentral's name for it is "SSU_rRNA_microsporidia". It matches the Rfam family "Eukaryotic small subunit ribosomal RNA", at positions 165 to 473 of the family's 1831-position model. Lineage: Eukaryota; Metazoa; Chordata; Amphibia; Anura; Pelobatidae. The record is from RNAcentral.
UUAUAAAUAUAUAUAUUUUUUAAUUGGAGUAGCCCACAAAAUAUUGGGACAUAUAAAAAAAGACAACUCUGUUCGGCAGAGUAGCUGUUGAGAUUAUAGUUGCGCAGGUACUUUGUUGACUCUAGAGAACCUCGGGCCAAUCGCACAUUCCCGUGGCACGACUUUGCAUGCGGAUGUCAUCCAUAUCAACUUUCGAUGCCAGUUUCUGAGCCUACCAUGGUGACCACGGGUAAUGGGGAAUCAGGGUUCCAUUCCGUACAGGAACCCUGAGAAACGGCUACCACAUGCAAGGAAGGCAGCAGGCGUGUAAAUGACCCACUCCCAAUGCGGGAAGGUAGUGAUGA